This 379-nucleotide long non-coding RNA is filed under the name Felis catus (domestic cat). RNAcentral describes it as "lncRNA (ENSFCAG00000053137.1)". Lineage: Eukaryota; Metazoa; Chordata; Mammalia; Carnivora; Felidae. The record is from RNAcentral.
UUGCCUUUACAGCACUUCAACCAUGUCAACUCAGAGAGGAGAGAGCUGAUGGGACUGAGUUCUCAGCUGGAUGUUGUGAGCAGGAUGGCAAGAAACUGACAAGCUUAAGGAUUCAAAUGAAAUAGCCCAAUUAAGUAAGGCGACAUGAUUAGAACCUGAGGUGAUCAGAAGAAAAGCUGACCCUACUAAGGCAAUGUGACUAGAAGCCGACCUGGCUAAGAAGACCACCUAACUCAAGGACCGCAGAACGCGGCAUUAGACCUAGAGGUCUAAGAACGAAAAUAGUGCACCGUGACUACAAAUUCUCCUGAUGAGAUUCCCGACCUCUGUGGAUUCCCUCUUGGUUGGUGAAUCUGUGUCAUGGCAUGGUGGAGACCCC